Dermochelys coriacea (leatherback sea turtle) is the source of this 2339-nucleotide long non-coding RNA. RefSeq lists it as uncharacterized. The record is from RefSeq and is a predicted model, not a curated record. Lineage: Eukaryota; Metazoa; Chordata; Testudines; Dermochelyidae. The transcript is spliced from 2 exons.
GGAAAUAGCGUUUAAUGGUGUAGGUUUAGCAGGUAGAAUGCAAAAGGAACAUGAAAGUCUUUUAGCCUGGUGUGGAUGUUACUGUCCAUAACCCAAAAACCAGGAUAGUUUUAUUUCAAGAACCUUAAGAAAUCACAUUUGACUGUGUGAAUGGCACCUUAUAGGAACAGAAUCUUGCAUGAGGAUUCUUGUUACAUGGUGUUACUGAUACAUAUGGCAAUUCAGAAGUGGGGAGAAAUCUAACUAGGGACAUAGUGCUCCCUCGUUAGCGGCCAUGAGAAAACAAACAUAGAAGUAGUAAGGAUGGCUUGACAGCCAGUUUGGUACAGCCCAACUUGACCCCUAUAUUUAUGCAGGAAAAAAUAUUGACCUUAAAUGUCUCCUCAUACUAGAUGGUACAAAUUAAAAUAUGUAGCUUCAAUCUGAACAAGGAGUGGAGAAGCUAGUAAGCCACAUGCCAACACCACCAAGUGUUUCAGAUUUGGGCCCAUUCUGCAUCAGGUUGUUUCCACUGGUCCGCGCUGUGUUAGGUUCUUCACUGAAGCACCUGACUAUUGAGAAAGCCUGUUAAAAAACUACUUCCACUUAUUAAAUAAAAAAGGACUACAUUUAAAAAAAAAAAAAAAAAAGGAGUUGACAGAUUUAUUUUAGGGGUAGAGGCCCUGAUUAUUCAGAAGAUUCCAUUAUUAGCAGACUCACUUAUAAACCUCAUCAGUCAAGAGAAUGUUCUGCAGCUGUUUUCCAAGAGUGUCAUGCUUACACAUGGGAUUCACUUUAUUUACCAGAAAGCCAGCUCAUGUGUAGCUGAAUUCUAAAGCAAUUUUUGCAGGUGCACACUUUGUACUGGGAAGUUAACACUUAAGCUGUUAAGCAUCAGUUUCCACAGCGCUCUCCCCUUCAGAUUAUCCACACUUAAGAAAUAAAAUGAAGCAACUUAUCCCUUAGUGCCCUGUACCCUCUUGCACUGUUGCUUGGCAGAGGCAAUCAUCAAUAUGGUUAAAACUCUCUGCCUUUCACUACUAACUGAAAAAUCCCUUCUCAUGGGAAACGCAAGGAGUUUGCGCUACUUAUUUGAAAGUUUAAGAGUCGAUGCAAAAAUGAGGCUACCAGAAUUGGGCCCUUUUGCCUCCACAAGAGCAGAUAGUGCAAAGUCAGAAGGAACACCCUAGGCAAAAAAAAAAAAAAAAAUCUCACAUCUUCUGACUCACCAAGGUUUGGUUUCAGAUGAGUCUUGUUCUAUGGCAGUUUGACUGUUUUUGGCUAUUAGGCUUUUUUGUUGCGAAUGGUUAAGACUAACCUCCAGCUAGUUCUCAAAAGCCAAUGCCUGCUGGAAGAUGCAGUAAUCCUUUAAUCCAACAAUUAUUUAGCAUUUGAGACUUUUGCUCCCCCUAUAGAUAGGACAGCAGAAUGGCCAGAAUUCUUUUCACCUUAGGUAAGAGUCUAGUCCACUGUGAUAGUUUACACAUGUUGCCUCAAGCUGAGGACUCCUUCCACAUAACUGUCUGGGGGCUUCUUUAAAGUGCAUCUGGACUGGAGUUAUGCUUAUCAUCUCUUCCCUCCACAAAAUGGACUCUUACCAGAUCACUGACCCCAAUAUUUUAUAAGAGGGGCUAAACUUCUACAACAGAAGUGGGCUGCAAAAAAAAAAAAAAAAAGUUGGUUUUGGAGGAAGCCUUGUGAGCUGAAGGGACGCGGACACUUCACAUUAGUGCACUCUCACCACCAGCGUACACAUAAAAUCCCACCUUUUUAUUAUGGCAUAUGGUUCUGGUUUGGAUGUGUCAAUACCACACAAGUGUGACAAAAAAAGGGAAAAAGACAUAGCGACGCUGAAAUAGUUACAGAGUCAUGCUAUUAGCAACACAGGUUGAUAUGAUGGAUUUCCAAGAUACAAAAUUGUUUGGGGGGGGAGGGGUUUCCUACACUGAAGUAACUUUACAAUAUUUUGUGAACUCGCUUUUUUUCCAGUAGAGAAAAAAAUGUAAAAUAUGCUGAGAACAACUACAAGCAGGAAUCGUUUUAAUGGUUAACAGGAAAAAAAAAAAGCUGCAACUUUGUUCUAUAACAGCAUCUAUUAAACACAUGUAAUGAGAGGUCAGCAACUAUACAGAAGAAAGAGUAGAUAUUUCACCACAGGAGUCUGAAGUUGGGGCAGGAAAGGGAACUCUGGAAUUGGAUGGUUUUAUUUGGUCACAAAGUUUGAGCUGAGUGUUUAAAAUGGGGCAUCCUUAAAGAUGCAGCACUCCUAUUCAAAACAAUAAAGAGACACUUCUGAUAGACUAGAACCUACCGGUCUGCAAAAAAAAUAAAAAAAAUAAAAAUUAGACAUUUUUAAAAAA